This 253-nucleotide ribosomal RNA is filed under the name uncultured bacterium. RNAcentral's name for it is "partial 16S ribosomal RNA". It matches the Rfam family "Bacterial small subunit ribosomal RNA", at positions 524 to 776 of the family's 1533-position model. The record is from RNAcentral.
UACGAAGGGGGCUAGCGUUGCUCGGAAUUACUGGGCGUAAAGGGCGCGUAGGCGGAUACUUAAGUUGGGGGUGAAAGCCCAGGGCUCAGCCCUGGAAUAGCCUUCAAUACUGGGUAUCUUGAGUUCGGGAGAGGUGAGUGGAACUCCGAGUGUAGAGGUGAAAUUCGUAGAUAUUCGGAAGAACACCAGUGGCGAAGGCGACUCACUGGCCCGAUACUGACGCUGAGGCGCGAAAGUGUGGGUAGCAAACAGG